Molecule: transfer RNA, 75 nt
Filed under: Ixodes scapularis (black-legged tick)
Lineage: Eukaryota; Metazoa; Arthropoda; Arachnida; Ixodida; Ixodidae
Rfam family: tRNA
About the family: Transfer RNA (tRNA) molecules are approximately 80 nucleotides in length. Their secondary structure includes four short double-helical elements and three loops (D, anti-codon, and T loops). Further hydrogen bonds mediate the characteristic L-shaped molecular structure. tRNAs have two regions of fundamental functional importance: the anti-codon, which is responsible for specific mRNA codon recognition, and the 3' end, to which the tRNAs corresponding amino acid is attached (by aminoacyl-tRNA synthetases). tRNAs cope with the degeneracy of the genetic code in two manners: having more than one tRNA (with a specific anti-codon) for a particular amino acid; and 'wobble' base-pairing, i.e. permitting non-standard base-pairing at the 3rd anti-codon position.
Source: Rfam by way of RNAcentral
GCCUCGGUGGCUCCGAGGCGAGAGCGCCGGCCUGCGGAUCCCUGCAGGUGGCGGGUUCGAAUCCCGACCGAGGUG